This 253-nucleotide ribosomal RNA is filed under the name uncultured bacterium. RNAcentral's name for it is "partial 16S ribosomal RNA". It matches the Rfam family "Bacterial small subunit ribosomal RNA", at positions 524 to 776 of the family's 1533-position model. The record is from RNAcentral.
UACGUAGGUGUCAAGCGUUGUCCGGAUUUAUUGGGCGUAAAGCGCCCGCAGGCGGCUUGCCAAGUUCGAUGUGAAAUCUCCCGGCUCAACUGGGAGGGUGCAUCGAAAACUGGCAGGCUUGAGGCAGGGAGAGGGAUGUGGAAUUCCGGGUGUAGUGGUGGAAUACGUAGAUAUCCGGAGGAACACCAGCGGCGAAGGCGGCUUUCUGGUCCGAUUCUGACGCUGAGGCGCGAAAGCGUGGGGAGCGAUCCGG